Molecule: ribosomal RNA, 254 nt
Filed under: uncultured bacterium
Lineage: Bacteria
Description: partial 16S ribosomal RNA
Rfam family: Bacterial small subunit ribosomal RNA
Source: RNAcentral
GACAGGAGGGUGCAAACGUUGUUCGGAAUUACUGGGCGUAAAGCGCGUGUAGGCGGCUAAGUAAGUCGGGCGUGAAAUCCCACGGCUCAACCGUGGAAGUGCACUCGAAACUGCAUAGCUAGAGUCCUGGAGAGGAAGGUGGAAUGCUUGGUGUAGAGGUGAAAUUCGUAGAUAUCAAGCGGAACACCGGUGGCGAAGGCGGCCAACUGGACGAAUACUGACGCUGAGACUCGAAAGCGUGGGGAGCAAACAGG